Molecule: transfer RNA, 77 nt
Filed under: Piscinibacter aquaticus
Lineage: Bacteria; Pseudomonadati; Pseudomonadota; Betaproteobacteria; Burkholderiales; Sphaerotilaceae
Description: tRNA-Pro
Rfam family: tRNA
About the family: Transfer RNA (tRNA) molecules are approximately 80 nucleotides in length. Their secondary structure includes four short double-helical elements and three loops (D, anti-codon, and T loops). Further hydrogen bonds mediate the characteristic L-shaped molecular structure. tRNAs have two regions of fundamental functional importance: the anti-codon, which is responsible for specific mRNA codon recognition, and the 3' end, to which the tRNAs corresponding amino acid is attached (by aminoacyl-tRNA synthetases). tRNAs cope with the degeneracy of the genetic code in two manners: having more than one tRNA (with a specific anti-codon) for a particular amino acid; and 'wobble' base-pairing, i.e. permitting non-standard base-pairing at the 3rd anti-codon position.
Source: RNAcentral
CGGGGUGUAGCGCAGCACGGUAGCGCACUUGCAUGGGGUGCAAGGGGUCGCGAGUUCGAAUCCCGCCACCCCGACCA